RNAcentral lists this ribosomal RNA (253 nucleotides) under uncultured bacterium. RNAcentral's name for it is "partial 16S ribosomal RNA". It matches the Rfam family "Bacterial small subunit ribosomal RNA", at positions 524 to 776 of the family's 1533-position model. The record is from RNAcentral.
UACGAAGGGGGCUAGCGUUGCUCGGAAUCACUGGGCGUAAAGCGCACGUAGGCGGAUUGUUAAGUCAGGGGUGAAAUCCUGGAGCUCAACUCCAGAACUGCCUUUGAUACUGGCGAUCUCGAGUCCGGGAGAGGUGAGUGGAACUGCGAGUGUAGAGGUGAAAUUCGUAGAUAUUCGCAAGAACACCAGUGGCGAAGGCGGCUCACUGGCUCGGUACUGACGCUGAGGUGCGAAAGCGUGGGGAGCAAACAGG